Molecule: ribosomal RNA, 253 nt
Filed under: uncultured bacterium
Lineage: Bacteria
Description: partial 16S ribosomal RNA
Rfam family: Bacterial small subunit ribosomal RNA
Source: RNAcentral
UACGUAGGGUGCAAGCGUUGUCCGGAAUUAUUGGGCGUAAAGAGCUCGUAGGCGGUCUGUCGCGUCUGCUGUGAAAACUCAGGGCUUAACCCUGAGCUUGCAGUGGGUACGGGCAGACUAGAGUGCGGUAGGGGAGACUGGAAUUCCUGGUGUAGCGGUGAAAUGCGCAGAUAUCAGGAGGAACACCCGUGGCGAAGGCGGCUCUCUGGAACGCAACUGACGCUGAGACGCGAAAGCGUGGGGAGCAAACAGG